GUGACAUUACUAACUAUUUUGUGUAUAAAAUUGUAUUGUCUCAUGAUAUGUAAAAAUUAAAUCUUCACACUAUAAAAUAAAAAUAAAACUACAGAACAUCGAAUGGAAGAAUAUAUACGAAAAGGGUUAAGUUUAAGAGAAAGAUUAUUCUAAUUUGAAUUAUCCCAUCAUUUAUAGUGCCUAGCAAAUCAAAGUCACAACGUCUUGAAUCAAAUUCUUCAUAACUAUAAGAGAUUUAAUUAUUUCAUAAAUGAAAAUCCAAAAGUAAAAUAAAUUAGGAAACAAUAUCAACGAUACAGGCUUUUCAUUUUUAUUUUUUACACAUGUUUAACACAAAAAACUCCUAAAUAUGCAUCUUGAAUCAGAUACUAAGCUAGUAGGUAAAUGGUUGCAUUCCAAUUUGAUAGUAUAAGAGUAAAAAUUUAAAUAGGACAUCUUUCUUAUAUUUUAGAAAGUUUUUUAUUUAUCAAAAAAAGUUUGAAAAAGGUUCUACUAAGUGUAUUUCCUACACAUGAAGAGCCAAGUUGCUUAAGAGAACCUGUGACCUAGUUGUUGCUGAUACACACAUGUAUGUAUAACUUUGUCCUACACCUUACCGACAUUACGUAAUGUCGGUA
This 617-nucleotide unclassified non-coding RNA is filed under the name Hevea brasiliensis (rubber tree). Lineage: Eukaryota; Viridiplantae; Streptophyta; Magnoliopsida; Malpighiales; Euphorbiaceae. The record is from RNAcentral.